Molecule: non-coding RNA, 210 nt
Organism: Paramuricea clavata
Lineage: Eukaryota; Metazoa; Cnidaria; Anthozoa; Malacalcyonacea; Plexauridae
Source: the annotation of a GenBank genome assembly
UGGUUUUUCCUCAUUUCAACUUAGGCCAGAUACGUUUACAACUUUACAUAUAGUCUAUACCGGAUAGCUUUUCGUAGCGGCGCGAAAAAGCACCUGCCCGAUACUCGAUACAGAAUGUACAACUUUCAGAAGCUGAGCGAAACAACAUCGACAUCUCUCCGUUGCAAUAAUUCAUCUGGGCUCUGAAAAUAGCGCUCUAAACAUAGAUAU